AGUGAACGCUGGCGGUAGGCCUAACACAUGCAAGUCGAACGGCAGCACAGUAAGAGCUUGCUCUUACGGGUGGCGAGUGGCGGACGGGUGAGGAAUACAUCGGAAUCUACUUUUUCGUGGGGGAUAACGUAGGGAAACUUACGCUAAUACCGCAUACGACCUACGGGUGAAAGCAGGGGAUCUUCGGACCUUGCGCGAUUGAAUGAGCCGAUGUGGGAUUAGCUAGUUGGCGGGGUAAAGGCCCACCAAGGCGACGAUCCGUAGCUGGUCUGAGAGGAUGAUCAGCCACACUGGAAGUGAGACACGGUCCAGACUCCUACGGGAGGCAGCAGUGGGGAAUAUUGGACAAUGGGCGCAAGCCUGAUCCAGCCAUACCGCGUGGGUGAAGAAGGCCUUCGGGUUGUAAAGCCCUUUUGUUGGGAAAGAAAAGCAGCAGGUUAAUACCCCGCUGUUCUGACGGUACCCAAAGAAUAAGCACCGGCUAACUUCGUG
Molecule: ribosomal RNA, 492 nt
Filed under: uncultured bacterium
Lineage: Bacteria
Description: partial 16S ribosomal RNA
Rfam family: Bacterial small subunit ribosomal RNA
Source: RNAcentral